Molecule: non-coding RNA, 152 nt
Organism: Candidatus Contendobacter odensis Run_B_J11
Lineage: Bacteria; Pseudomonadati; Pseudomonadota; Gammaproteobacteria; Candidatus Competibacteraceae
Source: Rfam
CCUGUCUUUCUCUGGACAGUAGCCUACCGUCACAUGCGGUCUUGGCAACGAGACGGUAUGAAGCUGGCGGGACAAUGCAACCCAUCCUCGAAAGGGGUCAAGCUGAAUCUGUGAGGACAAAGCGAAUCUGCAAGCAUAAUGCGGAAGGGAGC